CAGCCGCCACGGGAAAACGGAGGGUGCAAGCGUUAUCCGGAUUCACUGGGUUUAAAGGGUGCGUAGGCGGGCAGGUAAGUCAGUGGUGAAAUCUUCGAGCUUAACUCGGAAACUGCCGUUGAUACUAUCUGUCUUGAAUAACGUUGAGGUGAGCGGAAUAUGUCAUGUAGCGGUGAAAUGCUUAGAUAUGACAUAGAACACCGAUUGCGAAGGCAGCUCACUAAACGCUCAUUGACGCUGAGGCACGAAAGCGUGGGGAGCAAACAAGAUUAGAUACCCCCGUAGUCCCUGUCUCUUAUAC
This 301-nucleotide ribosomal RNA is filed under the name uncultured bacterium. Its description in RNAcentral is "partial 16S ribosomal RNA". It matches the Rfam family "Bacterial small subunit ribosomal RNA", at positions 509 to 807 of the family's 1533-position model. The record is from RNAcentral.